AACGAACGCUGGCGGCAUGCCUAACACAUGCAAGUCGAACGAAGUCUUCGGACUUAGUGGCGCACGGGUGCGUAACGCGUGGGAAUCUGCCCUUGGGUGCGGAAUAACUUCUCGAAAGGGAUGCUAAUACCGCAUAAUGUCGUAAGACCAAAGAUUUAUCGCCCAAGGAUGAGCCCGCGUAAGAUUAGCUAGUUGGUGAGGUAAAAGCCUACCAAGGCGACGAUCUUUAGCUGGUCUGAGAGGAUGAUCAGCCACACUGGGACUGAGACACGGCCCAGACUCCUACGGGAGGCAGCAGUGGGGAAUAUUGGACAAUGGGCGAAAGCCUGAUCCAGCAAUGCCGCGUGAGUGAUGAAGGCCCUAGGGUUGGUAAAGCUCUUUUACCUAGGGAUGAUAAUGACAGUACCUGGAGAAUAAGACUCCGGCUAACUCCGUGCCAGCAGCCGCGGUAAU
RNAcentral lists this ribosomal RNA (453 nucleotides) under uncultured bacterium. RNAcentral describes it as "bacterial SSU rRNA". It matches the Rfam family "Bacterial small subunit ribosomal RNA", at positions 29 to 524 of the family's 1533-position model. The record is from RNAcentral.